Molecule: ribosomal RNA, 253 nt
Filed under: uncultured bacterium
Lineage: Bacteria
Description: partial 16S ribosomal RNA
Rfam family: Bacterial small subunit ribosomal RNA
Source: RNAcentral
UACGGAGGAUGCAAGCGUUAUCCGGAUUUAUUGGGUUUAAAGGGUGCGUAGGCGGGAUGAUAAGUCAGCGGUGAAAGUUUGAGGCUCAACCUUAAAAUUGCCGUUGAAACUGUUUUUCUUGAGUAUAUUUGAAGUAGGCGGAAUUCGUGGUGUAGCGGUGAAAUGCAUAGAUAUCACGAAGAACUCCAAUUGCGAAGGCAGCUUACUAAACUAUAACUGACGCUGAAGCACGAAAGCGUGGGUAUCAAACAGG